RNAcentral lists this ribosomal RNA (207 nucleotides) under uncultured bacterium. RNAcentral's name for it is "partial 16S ribosomal RNA". It matches the Rfam family "Bacterial small subunit ribosomal RNA", at positions 568 to 774 of the family's 1533-position model. The record is from RNAcentral.
CGCGUAGGCGGUCUGGUCAGUCGGAUGUGAAAGCCCUGGGCUUAACCUGGGAACUACAUUCGAUACUGCCAAACUAGAAUAUGGGAGAGGGAAGUGGAAUUUCCGGUGUAGCGGUGAAAUGCGUAGAUAUCGGAAGGAACACCAGUGGCGAAGGCGGCUUCCUGGCCCAAUAUUGACGCUGAGGUGCGAAAGCGUGGGUAGCGAACA